UCGAGCGAAUGGAUUAAGAGCUUGCUCUUAUGAAGUUAGCGGCGGACGGGUGAGUAACACGUGGGUAACCUGCCCAUAAGACUGGGAUAACUCCGGGAAACCGGGGCUAAUACCGGAUAACAUUUUGAACCGCAUGGUUCGAAAUUGAAAGGCGGCUUCGGCUGUCACUUAUGGAUGGACCCGCGUCGCAUUAGCUAGUUGGUGAGGUAACGGCUCACCAAGGCAACGAUGCGUAGCCGACCUGAGAGGGUGAUCGGCCACACUGGGACUGAGACACGGCCCAGACUCCUACGGGAGGCAGCAGUAGGGAAUCUUCCGCAAUGGACGAAAGUCUGACGGAGCAACGCCGCGUGAGUGAUGAAGGCUUUCGGGUCGUAAAACUCUGUUGUUAGGGAAGAACAAGUGCUAGUUGAAUAAGCUGGCACCUUGACGGUACCUAACCAGAAAGCCACGGCUAACUACGUGCCAGCAGCCGCGGUAAUACGUAGGUGGCAAGCGUUAUCCGGAAUUAUUGGGCGUAAAGCGCGCGCAGGUGGUUUCUUAAGUCUGAUGUGAAAGCCCACGGCUCAACCGUGGAGGGUCAUUGGAAACUGGGAGACUUGAGUGCAGAAGAGGAAAGUGGAAUUCCAUGUGUAGCGGUGAAAUGCGUAGAGAUAUGGAGGAACACCAGUGGCGAAGGCGACUUUCUGGUCUGUAACUGACACUGAGGCGCGAAAGCGUGGGGAGCAAACAGGAUUAGA
This 740-nucleotide ribosomal RNA is filed under the name Bacillus sp. enrichment culture clone DWSR96. RNAcentral describes it as "bacterial SSU rRNA". It matches the Rfam family "Bacterial small subunit ribosomal RNA", at positions 62 to 782 of the family's 1533-position model. Lineage: Bacteria; Bacillati; Bacillota; Bacilli; Caryophanales; Bacillaceae. The record is from RNAcentral.